GAUGAAGAACGUAGCGAAAUGCGAUAAGUAAUGUGAAUUGCAGAAUUCAGUGAAUCAUCGAAUCUUUGAACGCACAUUGCGCCCUCUGGUAUUCCGAGGGGCAUGCCUGUUCGAGCGUCAUUUCACCACUCAAGCCUGGCUUGGUGUUGGGCGACGUCCUCUUUGGGGACGCGCCUCGAAACGCUCGGCGGCGUGGCACCGGCUUUAAGCGUAGCAGAAUCUUUCGCUUUGGAAGUCGGGGCCCCGUCUGCCGGAAGACCUGCUCGCAAGGUUGACCUCGGAUCAGGCAGGGAUACCCGCUGAACUUAAGCAUAUCAAUAAGCGGAGGA
RNAcentral lists this unclassified non-coding RNA (329 nucleotides) under soil metagenome. RNAcentral describes it as "partial contains 5.8S ribosomal RNA, internal transcribed spacer 2, and large subunit ribosomal RNA". The stretch from base 1 to 120 matches the Rfam family "5.8S ribosomal RNA", at positions 35 to 154 of the family's 154-position model. The record is from RNAcentral.